GAGAGCCGUGUGAGGUGAAAGUCUCAUGCACGGUUCGGAAUGGGAGUCGUGGUAGGUGACUACCACUUCGACCCCUAAU
This is a non-coding RNA of Crocosphaera watsonii WH 8501, 79 nucleotides long. The record is from Rfam. Lineage: Bacteria; Bacillati; Cyanobacteriota; Cyanophyceae; Chroococcales; Aphanothecaceae.